AAUCCUCAAAAGAAAAGCUUAACUGCUUUCUCUUUUGGAAUUGGAGAGUGCUGGCCUUCUGUUUGGGAAGCCCAGCUCCUCUGAAAUACAUUAGCGAUGUGACAUCCGCAUGGCACCACGCUUCUCUGGCAUUGAUAGUAUCUUCAUGCCUGAGCGUGUCGUGCAGCUGUGGAAAGCUUUGCUCGCUCAUAGCUUGAUGGGUCAGCCCAUCCUUUGACCA
Molecule: unclassified non-coding RNA, 220 nt
Filed under: uncultured Hygrocybe
Lineage: Eukaryota; Fungi; Basidiomycota; Agaricomycetes; Agaricales; Hygrophoraceae
Description: partial internal transcribed spacer 2
Source: RNAcentral